ACCGCUUCCUUCCUUGCGCACACCUAAUUCCAGUAGUAAAGGAUGUGGCAAGACAGGCAGCGGUAGA
Molecule: microRNA precursor, 67 nt
Filed under: Caenorhabditis briggsae
Lineage: Eukaryota; Metazoa; Nematoda; Chromadorea; Rhabditida; Rhabditidae
Description: Cbr-Mir-73-P3a_pre stem-loop
Source: RNAcentral